GUAGAGCUAAUUAAUGGAUAACUUGGCUUGUAGACCGAUGAAGAGCGUGGCAAGCUGCGAUAAGCUUGGGGGAGAUGCAUGCAAUCUUUGAUCCCAAGAUGCUCGAAUUGUCCAAGGCGAAAGCUUUGGGUGGUAACCUAGGGAACUGAAGCAUCUUAGUACCUAGAGGAAGAGAAAACAAUAGUGAUACCGUGACUAAGAUCGACCGAAAGCGGUAGAGAACAAACCGAAUCCUUUAUAGUGAUGUAAAGGAGAUGUGGGGUUGUGUGACUUAUUUACUUCUUGAAAACAAAAUCGAAGAUAGCUGGAAAGCUAUACUACAGAGGGUGAUAGUCCCGUAGAUAUAAGUAUUUUGAGAAGAUUUUUGAGUAUCACGAGUACUGCGCGUUGGAUAUCGCGUAGGAAGCUUUGCAGGCACUUACUGCAAAUUCUAAAUAUACUACAAGACCGAUAGAGAAUGAGUACCGUGAGGGAAAGUUGAAAAGUUCUCCUAACGGAGGGUAAAAAGCACUUGAAAUUAAUUAGCUACAGUUCGGGUGUGGCCUGAAAGUGUUGAAGGAGAGACGUGAGCGAUUGUGGGUAACUGCAAAAGCGAGUUUUUCUGGAACAGGGUUACACUAUCCGUCACGAAGCACGGGCGAGGGAGUAUUUCUGAGUGGCAAGGCUUAAGUGAGUCAUUCACAGAGCCGAAGGGAAACCGAUUUUACGCAGAUCUUUGGAUUCAGGUAAUUGGUGUUAACUGCGCCAUUAGUCACUUGGAAAUAACCCGAAACCAGAUGAUAAAUUCCUGAGCAGGAUGAAGGCAGCCGACUGGUUGCUGGAGGUCCGUAGUGGUUCUAGUCUAACUGUUCAUGUGACUUGGGAAUAGUACUGAGAGAGUAAUCUAAUCUGGUGCUAGCGGGUUCCUAUCGAAAUAUCCCUAAGGAUAGCCUAGCUGGAGAUAGAUAAUAUGGUAGAGAUACUGAUUAGAAAGUAUCGGGAAGAAAUUCUCGGCUUUCUUGUCAAACUCCGAAUGUAUUAUCGUCGUUGAAGGCUGGAGUUGGGGUGGUCGGGUAAGCUGAUCUUCCUAAAGGGGAAAAACCCAGACUGUGAUUAAGGUCCUUAAGUACUAGCUAAGUGUUAACUGGAAGGGAGUGUUUAUCCUAAGACAAUUGGGAGGUUGGCUUAGAAGCAGCCACCCUUUAAAGAGUGCGUAAUAGCUCACCAAUCUAGGAUAGAUGCCUUGAAAAUUAACGGGGCUAAGCUAGUCACCGAUAUCAUAGAACACAUGUUAAUGUGAUUUGAUAGAUAGGUGCUUUGGUAGAGUAGAAGUUGGGGCGUAAGUUCCGGUGGAUCUGCCAAAGAUAUGGAUCCUCGCGAUAGUAACAUCAAAGAAAAGUGAGAAUCUUUUCCGCCGAAGGGGCAAGGGUUUCUUAGCACUAAUCUUUAGCUAAGAGUAAGUCGAUCCUAAGAUCUUUCGUAAGACGACGAGAUCGAAAGGGAAACAGGUUCAUAUUCCUGUACUGAUAAAACACGUGUGGUAACGCAAGUAUAGUUUUUAACGUUUUUGGCAAGGUAGAGUGUGCUUGUCUUGCACAUCUAAAUACUACAGAUCUGUGGAGAAUCAUAAUGAUGAGAAGCAGAUUAAAGGUAUGAAGGGGAGAAAUCUUCUAUCGAGGCCAAGGACCCCUGAAAAGAAAACUAUGCAGUGUUUUAUUAAUCGUACCAAGAACCGAGAAAGGUGUCCCUAGCUGAAUAGGCUCAGGCGUAAUAGGAUAAUUAAACUUAGGGAAUUCGGCAACAUUGGCCCCGUAUCUUAGGUAUGAGGGGUGCUUACGGUUGAGUAAACUGUAAGUCUUAGUAACAAGGAUAGUCCGACUGUUUAUCAAAAACACAGGUGACUGCUAGCCGGAAACGGUGCGUAUAGUCACUGACCUCUGCUCACUGCUAGUACGUGAACACCAGGUCCAACUGGUCUAAGCGCUGGUAAAGAGCGGGCCUAACUCUGAGGCUCUCAUGGUAGCGUAAUACCUUGCCGGUUAAUUGCCGGCUUGCACCAAGGAAGUAACGAGAUUAUCGCUGUCCCAAGUUUAAGCCUAGUGAACUUGCACACGUGGUGAAUACGCCACGAACUGUCAAUGGGAGGAUAAGACCCCAUGGAGGUUUACUACAGUCUGAUGUGGUUGUAUUCUUUCUACUAUAGAGCGUAGAUGGGAGUCGCUUAUGUUAUCCUCGCUAGGGGGUAAAUAGACAACAAUGUAACACCAUCUAGUAGAAAAAAUACAACUCUACGUUGAAUAAACGGACAGCAUUUGAUUUGGUAGUUUGACUGGGGCGGUACACCCCUGAAAGAAUAUCAGGGGUGUCCAAAGGUGUGCUCAAGCAGGUCAGAAAUCUGCUGUAGAGGACAAGACCAAAAGCACGCUUAACAGUGUUUCUCAAAGCACGAAACGCUGGAUAGAAAUAUGGGUCUAGCGAACGCUAGUGUCCCUAUUAGUGGGGGCCUAGUCUGACAGUAAACUUACCCUGGGGGUAACUGAGUCGUCGCGGGCAAGAGUUCACAUCGACCCCGCGGUUUGCUACCUCGCUGUCGGCUCACGGCAUCCUGGCUGGGCAUAAAUAGCCAAGGGUGGAGGUGUUCACUCAUUAAAGCCGUACGUUAGUUGGGUUAAGAACGAUGCGAGUCAGUUUGGUUCCUAUCUAUUGGCAGCGUAGGUUGUCUGAAGGGAAGAUGCGUUUAGUACGAGAGGAACGGCGCGUCGCGGUCUCUGGUGUACCGAUUGUCUGACAAGGCACUGUCGGGUAGCUACGCCGUAAUUGAUAAGAGCUGAAAGCAUCUAAGCUCGAAGCGAUCCCUAAGACGAGACAGCCAUUUCUGUAGAGAUACAGGACGAGGACUCCGGAAGAACACCGGUUUGAUAGGUCAGUAAUGUAAGGCGGGAGCAAGCAAUUGCGACUGUUUAAGUUUUCUGAUACUAAGGGUCCAAGUAAAAACC
Molecule: ribosomal RNA, 2975 nt
Filed under: activated sludge metagenome
Description: bacterial LSU rRNA
Rfam family: Archaeal large subunit ribosomal RNA
Source: RNAcentral